Molecule: ribosomal RNA, 173 nt
Filed under: uncultured bacterium
Lineage: Bacteria
Description: partial 16S ribosomal RNA
Rfam family: Bacterial small subunit ribosomal RNA
Source: RNAcentral
GGAAUUGCUAGUAAUGGCAGGUCAGCAUACUGCCGUGAAUACGUUCCCGGGCCUUGUACACACCGCCCGUCACACCAUGAGAGUUGGGAAUACCCGAAGCCUGUGAGCUAACUUAUAGAGGCAGCAGUCGAAGGUAGAAUCAAUGAUUGGGGGUGAAGUCGUAACAAGGUAAC